RNAcentral lists this long non-coding RNA (915 nucleotides) under Cricetulus griseus (Chinese hamster). RNAcentral's name for it is "lncRNA (ENSCGRG00015036448.1)". The record is from RNAcentral. Lineage: Eukaryota; Metazoa; Chordata; Mammalia; Rodentia; Cricetidae.
GGAUCAUUAAAGUACACAUACCCUUUAACCCUGCUAUCUCCUUCUGAGGAAAUAAUCCAAAUGAAGGAAGCAAUGAUAUCCAUGAAAACAUCCUGUAGCGUUAUUCAUCACGGGAAAAACUGAGCAAGCAUGUAAGUGACUUACAUUAGGGUAAUGAUUACUAAAUGAUUCACUCACUGGAACACUAUUCAACAAUUAAGAAGAAAAAGAUGACCACUAUGGCCCACAAUGGAGAAUUGCUUGUGAAAAUUGAGAAGCCAAAGGGGCACGGUACAAAAAUUAGACCCGUGCCCGGAUACUCAGCAAACAUAUGACUUGCCCUGGAAGCACGGGAAGGAAAGAUGGGCAAAUAAAAACAGUUUCAUCUCCCAUGCCUAGCUGCUCCUCUGUCCACCAUCAGCUCCACUCUGGGACCAGACUACCAUGGCAGUCUUUCUGUGUGCACAGGGCAGGUCCCUGUGCCAGAGGGACACACAGACAAUGAUCUACCCAUUACUUCUUACAACUGGGGCUAGGCUCAUCUCAUGCUCCUUCUUGGGUUUCUAGGAUCUCACCGACUCCAAGCAGUAGUAGCCAACACUGAGCAGUUAUACAACUCAGUCCUUUCACUCUGCGGCUUUCUUUGCUGAAUCAAGCAAAAGAGAAUGCAUUUCUGUUCCAGGAAAUGGAUGGCGCCACAGAAAAGGGCCAGAGUAAAAUGGAUCUUUAUCAUUAGAGCUGCUCAAAGAUGGGGUGCUUGAGUGUUGUAUCUGCAAGUACACUAUCUGCAGAUUCAAUAAAUUCCCCAUGGAGAAUUUCCAGGGGAAAACCGUUUCUGUGCUGAACACCUACAUAUAUUCUUCCUUGUCAUUAUGCCCUAAACAAUGCAGUCUACUAUUUAGACAUAUUUACUUUUAAUUAGAAAUUACCUUUGAG